AACCUCACUGCUCUCUCGCUUCCCACUUGGGCAAUCCAGAAGCUCAGUAAGAUCACUCGUAACUUCAUCUGGUGUGGGAAAGACUCAGAAAACACGUCUGGCGGACACUCUCUGGUCAACUAGAAGACUGUCUGCCGGCCUAAGCCCAUGGGGGGCCUGGGAAUCAUAGACCUCGAGAGAUUUGGUUGGGCGCUCCGACUUCGCCCUUGGCUUAUGUGGACUGAUCCUGACCGCCAAUGGGUGGGCUCUGCGGUGCCCUGCAAUGAGACGGAUAUGGCGCUCUUCAGGGAUUCUACCACCAUCUCCUUGGGCAAUGGGAGAAAAUCCUUAUUCUGGCACGACGACUGGACAUGACGGGGCCCUCUGUCCCGGGCCUUCCCGGAGCUAUACAAAAUUGCCACCAGGAAGCGGAGAACUGUGAUGAAGGAGCUCCAGGAGGAGAACUGGAUCAGAUCGGUAGCCCGUCUUUCAUCGCCUACCCACAUGCAAGAGUUCAUUGCCCUCGCAUCAGCCAUCUCUUAGGUUGCGUUGAACGACCAGGAGGACUCCACUUGGCGGUGGACCCCCAAUGGUGUAUACUCUGCUGCUUCGGCCUACGCGGCCCAGUUCUCUGGAUCCUAUCCUAGGUUCUGCCCAGCCAAGAUUUGGGAGGCACAUGCUGAGCCAAAAUGCAAGUUCUUCGCCUGGCUUGUGCUCCACGGGAAAAUCCUCACGGCUGACAUGCUAGCCGUUCGUGGCUGGCCGCACGACCCUUGUUGUCCCCUUUGCCUUGGGGCACCGGAGACGGCCACUCAUCUCUGCAAGGACUGCCCGUUUUCCACCGCAGUUUGGUCUCACGUCCAGGUGUGGACGGGAGAGGACUCUGGGGCCACGCCCAUGUUGCCCCCUUCGAUGGGGAUUUCAGACUGGUGGGAUUCGCUCACCACCAAUUUGCCCAAGGACGACAUAAGAAGGCGGAGCGGCCGCUUCAUUUACACCAUCUGA
This 984-nucleotide ribosomal RNA is filed under the name Triticum aestivum (bread wheat). RNAcentral describes it as "partial small subunit ribosomal RNA". The record is from RNAcentral. Lineage: Eukaryota; Viridiplantae; Streptophyta; Magnoliopsida; Poales; Poaceae.